UACGUAGGUGGCAAGCGUUGUCCGGAUUUACUGGGCGUAAAGGGCGCGUAGGCGGCGAUUCAAGUGACGGGUGAAAUCCCUCGGCUUAACCGAGGAACUGCCUGUCAGACUGGAUGGCUUGAGACCGGGAGAGGUGAGUGGAAUUCCCAGUGUAGCGGUGAAAUGCGUAGAUAUUGGGAGGAACACCAGUGGCGAAGGCGGCUCACUGGACCGGAACUGACGCUGAGGCGCGAAAGCGUGGGGAGCAAACAGG
This 253-nucleotide ribosomal RNA is filed under the name uncultured bacterium. Its description in RNAcentral is "partial 16S ribosomal RNA". It matches the Rfam family "Bacterial small subunit ribosomal RNA", at positions 524 to 776 of the family's 1533-position model. The record is from RNAcentral.